CGCGUCUGAUUAGUUAGUUGGCAGGGUAACGGCCUACCAAGACGAUGAUCAGUAGCCGGCUUGAGAGAGUGGACGGCCACAUUGGGACUGAGACACGGCCCAGACUCCUGCGGGAGGCAGCAGUGGGGAAUAUUGCACAAUGGGGGGAACCCUGAUGCAGCAAUGCCGCGUGGGUGAAGAAGCACUCCGGUGCGUAAAGCCCUGUCAGCAGGGAAGAAAAUGACAGUACCUGACCAAGAAGCCCCGGCUAACUACGUGCCAGCAGCCGCGGUAAUACGUAGGGGGCAAGCGUUAUCCGGAUUUACUGGGUGUAAAGGGAGCGCAGGCGGUAUGGCAAGUCAGAUGUGAAAACCCAGGGCUCAACCCUGGGACUGCAUUUGAAACUGCCAUACUGGAGUGCCGGAGAGGUAAGUGGAAUUCCUAGUGUAGCGGUGAAAUGCGUAGAUAUUAGGAGGAACACCAGUGGCGAAGGCGGCUUACUGGACGGUAACUGACGCUGAGGCUCGAAAGCGUGGGGAGCAAACAGGAUUAGAUACCCUGGUAGUCCACGCUGUAAACGAUGAAUACUAGGUGUCGGGGCACA
Molecule: ribosomal RNA, 583 nt
Filed under: uncultured bacterium
Lineage: Bacteria
Description: bacterial SSU rRNA
Rfam family: Bacterial small subunit ribosomal RNA
Source: RNAcentral